AUAUUAAAAUAUUGCAAAAUCGGAGAUACUUAAAGUCGACAAGACCCUUUUUUUGUAUACUAUUUUGUUGUCUCAUAUAGCCCUGGUCAAUACCAACUUUCUUAUCUUAAGUGGAACACCCCUUUUAUUUAACUAGUUAAAAGCCUCUAAAACUAAUUCUACUAAAAAUAGAAAAAAACGGAUUUCACUUUUCUAUUCUUACUUUGGUAUUUAUUUUAAUUAACUUUUUUGCCGUUCACUGUAUAUCAUGGAUUGGAAAUGUGCAUGUUGGAACAGGGUGUCCCAAAUUCGAGGGUGAUCAUUGGGAUCUCAGAAACCAUAAGAGUUAGAGAGUCGGUUAAAUGGAGGCAAAGUUGCGCAAUUUGGAGCUUAAUAAAAUGACGGGGACAAUGUCAUUACUAGAUGGCCUGACCGCCCGAAAUACCAACAUAAUCCAAACCCUCAAAGGUCACACCAGUGACGUCAAUUGCUGCGACUUCGCACCAAAUUUCACAUUGGUCACUGGAUCAAGUGAUAAAACAGUUCGAAUAUGGGACUGGCACAAAGGUUCGGGAUACGUGGAGCGUCCAAACUCCCCAUUACGUGCCCACAAGUACCAAGUAACUUGCGUGAAAAUAUCACCGCAAGGUUCCAUGAUGGCCACCUCUUCGGUGGACGGUACCGCCCUACUCUGGAACCUACACUCUUUAAGCAAAUUGUACACCAUGACCCAGGUGAACGGGGAUCCUAUACGUGUAUGUUGCUUUUCUCCUGAUAGUACUUUGUUGGUUACGGCCGGGGAUAAUGGUGCCGUGUGUAUUUGGGAUUUGGUGCAUAGGACAUUAACCAGAACUCUAUUUGAACACGACGGCACAACCCAGGGUCUAGCCUUCACUCCAGACAGUCAGUAUUUAGUGACAGCAUGUACCUUAGAAGUGGUGAAGAUUUGGAACCUACAAGACCUGAUAGAUACAACGACUGAUAACGUAUGCACCCCUUUAAGUAGGAUAGACAAUAUUCACGACAUGGGUGUGUUUUCCAUAGAUAUUUCUAAGCAUAUUAACGUUGACGAAAACAAUCCCCUGAUUCGCCACUAUAGCAUGGCCUCGGGAGGUUGCAACAACGAAAUUAAAAUCUGGACAAUCACAUCGAAAGCUUUAGUAAGAAAUAAGAAUUCGACUCAUAAGCAAGUCACCAUAGAGCUAGAUAAGGUCCUAGAAGGGCACAAUUCGUCUGUAACAUGUUUAAGAUAUAGUAAUGUGGGUAAAUAUCUGGUAUCAAGUAGCUUAGAUAAGUCCCUAAAAGUGUGGGACACUAACAAGAAUGGUGCAUGCUUAAUAAACCUUUAUGGGCAUCAGAGAUAUGUUAAUUGUGUCAGUUUUUCUAAGGAUAUGAGCCUUAUUGCCUCAGGUUCCACAGGUUCGAAUGAUAAACUGGUAAUAAUUUGGGAUCUGACUGGAAAUAUUACCCUGGAAACCGAUCUGGUUAUGCCCCUGGUGAGUCCCAGUGGUGCGGUUGAGACGCAACUAGCGGAAAACAGCGUGGGACAGAGCAGCGAGUGUGAACUUUUAGAGAAAAUCGAGGAUAUCUUCGAUGGUGGGGUGAACAGUUGCUGUUUUUACGGAAAGGAUCUGUUGGCCACCGGAUCUGGGGAUAAGUGUAUAAGGUUAUUCAAGGUUAUGGAGGAAAAUAAUAAUGUAGAGGAGCUGUGCAAUUCACCGUUAGAAGGACACACUUAUGCCAUAAAUUAUGUGGAAUUUUCCAAGGAUGGUACGAAAUUAGCAUCUUCUUCUUUGGACGGUUGUACUUUUAUAUGGAAUCCGCAGAAUGGGGAAAAAUACUUAUCGGUCCCAAAAAACAGCUUGUCAAUCAAAAUUUGCAGAUUCUCCCCGAACGGAAAAUUCUUAGUAACAGGCGGGGACGACGAGAAAGCCGUCAUCUGGAACGUGGACACCAUGGAAGAAAUUUCUGUCCUUGAUGGCCACCUGGACAGCAUAACCUCCGCCUGCAUUACCCCAGACAAUAAAUUCAUAGUUACGGCCUCGUGUAACUCGGACUAUCGCAUCUGGAACCUGGACACCGCCAAGUGCGUUUUUAUUAAAGAAGACGCCCACGACGGCGGUAUCCAGAGUUGCGAUUGUUCAGAAAACUUGGAGCCUAUUCCCAACGUAAUCAGCGAGGGGCAGAAUUACUUGUUGGCCACCUGCGGUAACGACAGUAUGGUGAAACUCUGGAGAAUCUUCUUUGCUGUCGGAGAACAAGACGAUCCGGUAAUAAAACAGUGGCGUCUACUGCAAGGUCACGGAGGAAACGUCAUUUCCGUGAGGUUUUCACCGACCGUUGGGGAAGUGGUGUGCUCCACAGCCACCGACAGACAAGCCAGGAUAUGGUCCGUUUACGGCGGAGACUGCUUGCAUGUGUUGGAUCACGAUUCAAUUGUCACGUGUUGCUCGUUUAGUUCGGAUUGUUCGUUGUUGGCCAUCGGUUGUCUGGAUCGCACUUUGUGGAUUUGGAAGUUGCCGCAACAUCUUGUAUUUCAAACGGCUAUAGCGAGCAAGUUGAAAAGCCACACGAAAACUAUAGCGGAGUGGUCCAAUGGGGAUGUCAUUAAAUGGCUGGAUGAGAUUAAUAUGAGUAGGAUAUCGGAGAAUGUUGUUAAUACGGGUUUGAAUGGGGAAAAGUUGAUGACGCUUACUGAGAAUGAAGUUUGUUGUGGAUUAGAUUUGGAUUACGAGACGGCAGAAAUAAUGACGCGCGAACUAAAAUGGCUAAAAAAGGUGGAGGUACAAAUAGAACGGCCGCCGUCCAUCGACAUCCCCGAAGAGUUCUUGUGCCCCAUCACCCACGAGAUCAUGAGGGAACCGGUAACCUGUUCGGACGGGUUCACGUAUGAAAGAAACGCAAUCGCCGAGUGGUUCAUGUCGGGGAAGUUCAGUAGCCCGAUGACGAACGAGGUGCUGGAUAAUACGGACUUUAGUCCCAAUUUGGAGCUGCGAGAUUCGAUUAGGCGGUUUUUGGAAAGUAGCGAGGAAGAAGAGUAGACGGUUAAAGCAAUAAAUAUUAUUGACUUAGUCUUUAUAUAUGUGCCUUGGGAUUAUAAUUAAAUAAGGAUUUUUUUAGAGACUUUCAUGGAUUGUUUAGAUCCCGAGUUAGCCCAGGGAUUUCAUGGAUUAACUCUCGAAUUAAUAACCCACUAAAUAUUACAUAAGUGUAAUUUUUCUAGAUGGUUUGUAUAGUAUAUUUGUAUAUAACAUAAUUACACUAUAGGACAAAUAGUUACGUGUAAAACCUUACUAAUAUCUAUGUAAUUUUAUUUAAAGGCAACUAAAUGCACUGUUAUGUAAACGAAUAUAUCUAACGAUUUCGUGCCUUUAUUUACAUGAAAUACCUUUUUAUUUAUAUUAUCGAAUGAGUCAAAAUCUGUGAUAUAUAUUGUACGUUAAAAACUUCUAAAUAAAUACUGUUCUGUCUGUUAAAA
RNAcentral lists this unclassified non-coding RNA (3457 nucleotides) under Anthonomus grandis grandis. RNAcentral's name for it is "wD repeat, SAM and U-box domain-containing protein 1- like". The record is from RNAcentral. Lineage: Eukaryota; Metazoa; Arthropoda; Insecta; Coleoptera; Curculionidae.